GACGAACGCUGGCGGCGUGCUUAACACAUGCAAGUCGAACGGAAAGGCCCUGCUUUUGUGGGGUGCUCGAGUGGCGAACGGGUGAGUAACACGUGAGUAACCUGCCCUUGACUUUGGGAUAACUUCAGGAAACUGGGGCUAAUACCGGAUAGGAUCUCCUGCUGCAUGGUGGGGGUUGGAAAGUUUCGGCGGUUGGGGAUGGACUCGCGGCUUAUCAGCUUGUUGGUGGGGUAGUGGCUUACCAAGGCUUUGACGGGUAGCCGGCCUGAGAGGGUGACCGGCCACAUUGGGACUGAGAUACGGCCCAGAAUCCUACGGGAGGCAGCAGUGGGGAGUAUUGCACAAUGGGCGGAAGCCAGAUGCAGAAACGCCGCGUGCGGGAUGACGGCCUUCGGGUUGUAAACCGCUUUCGCCUGUGACGAAGCGUGAGUGACGGUAAUGGGUAAAGAAGCACCGGCUAACUACGUG
Molecule: ribosomal RNA, 468 nt
Filed under: uncultured bacterium
Lineage: Bacteria
Description: partial 16S ribosomal RNA
Rfam family: Bacterial small subunit ribosomal RNA
Source: RNAcentral